Molecule: long non-coding RNA, 657 nt
Organism: Cyprinus carpio carpio
Lineage: Eukaryota; Metazoa; Chordata; Actinopteri; Cypriniformes; Cyprinidae
Source: Ensembl
AACUACGACUGCGCUAACAGUGAUAUUUAUUUCAAUCCGACAUUCAAAUUAAAAUAUGGAAUAAUAUUCAUAACAGAAGCUCCAAAUAUUACAUUUACAUUUACAUUUACAUUUAGUCAUUUAGCAGACGCUUUUAUCCAAAGCGACUUACAAAUGAGGACAAUGGAAGCAAUCAAAAACAACAGAAGAGCAAUGAUAUAUAAGUGCUAUUAAUUCUGCGACUAGAGUUGGGUAAGUGAUUGUUUGGAUUUCAAUUAUGUGUCAUUACUAGUGGUGGGCAUAGAUUAAUUUUUUUUAAUCUAGAUUAAUCUCACUGUAAUCUUGGAAUUAAUCUAGAUUAAUCUAGAUUAAAAUGGCUAAUUUGAAGUAAAUCUUUGAGAACGGGUUUCUCAAACCAGGUGGCGCAUUAGACCAGGGGCUCAUCUCCUGUUUCCAAAAUGCAUCACAAACUGCUUGAGAAAGCUGUUUUACUACUAUAAUAAUUGGUGAUGAAAAUAAAUUAUGUUCAAUAAGAUGUACUUGUUAGUACUGAUAGAGCUGUGCUGCACUCAAACAUAGUAGUUUGACGACGACUCUUCCCCUGCGCUACAUCAGUGCUUGGCCCGGCAUCUUCCGCAUCAGCUAAGGGAUGCUUUGCGUUUAGGUGAUACUUGAGAC